This 318-nucleotide unclassified non-coding RNA is filed under the name fungal sp. Its description in RNAcentral is "partial internal transcribed spacer region". The stretch from base 1 to 46 matches the Rfam family "Eukaryotic small subunit ribosomal RNA", at positions 1786 to 1831 of the family's 1831-position model. The record is from RNAcentral. Lineage: Eukaryota; Fungi.
AAGUCGUAACAAGGUCUCCGUAGGUGAACCUGCGGAGGGAUCAUUAACACGUUUAUUUCACUAUAAACGUAUCUAUACCAAACAAAUAGAAACCAAAGUCGAGAUGGAGAUAGAAAUAUUUCGAUCCCUACUUAGUUCCUCUCCCUCUCUACAUGUAUAUGACUAUGUAUGUAGUUAGGCUCUUUUGUGUACACCCCUUUCCAACUAUGUACCUAUUUUGUGUACAUUUUCCGCAGUCUUCUAUGUCAGUGUUAAUCACUGUACAUUGAUAUACUAAUGUUAAAAGCACAACUCUUAGCAACGGAUAUCUUGGUUCUC